Molecule: long non-coding RNA, 1714 nt
Organism: Orcinus orca (killer whale)
Lineage: Eukaryota; Metazoa; Chordata; Mammalia; Artiodactyla; Delphinidae
Exons: 2
Source: RefSeq, a predicted model, not a curated record
GAGGGUCCACUCGCAACUGCUGGAGCCGGAGGCGUACGCAGAACCCUGUGCAGCACCUGCCUGCGCCCGGAUGGAGACGCAGCCACUUCGGAGGAGCGUCGAUCAGAGGACGGACCUCAGAGUCCCUGCGGCUCUUCCUGGAGCUCCUGCGCCAUCCUCCCAAGAAAGUGGGACGAAGGUGCCGGCGCCCCAGGAGAUGCGCCCCCUCCUCUCCUCCCCUCAGAGCGGUGACUCAGCCUCGCUAACCCCCGGUCGGCUGAGCUGGGGCGCCGGCGAGAGACAGACGCCCACCUACCCGCCGCCCUGGCCGCGGCUUUCUCGGGACCCCUCCCUUCAUUCAGCCGGGGGCGCCCCCUCCCUGUCCCGUCGAGCUGGUCCCUCAGCGCCCCCAACUUCCCGCCUCUGCAGGAGGAGCUGUCCUCUCAGGACCAGGCGGGGGCGGGGCCUCAGCCGGACUGCCCCGCCCCCAUUGCCCUCCCCCUCCCCGCAGCCGGAAGUGCCUCUUUGCAGGGACAUCUUUGACGUCACAGGGUUUUGACGUCAAGGGCCACGUGCCUGUCCGCAAGCGCUGGGUCAGAGAAGGCCUGGAGACGCGGGGGAGGAAGAGCAGCAGCGCCCCCAGCUGCGGGCGACGGAGCCACCCUGCCCGGGCAGCGCGCCGGCACCUUGGCUCUAGACUGCUUACUGCCCGGGCCGCCCUCAGUAACAGUCUCCAGUCACGGCCACCGACGCCUGGCCCCGCCCCAGGACCGCGGACCCGGCCACCUGCCGCGCCCCCGGCCCCUCUGUCCCUGAGGGUCCCUCAGCCCCGAGCUCGCUGCCCGCGCCGCCGCUGUCCGCGGUGCUGAUCCGGCGCGGGCACCGCCAUCGAGCCGUCCCGUCCCCGGUCCCCAAGGGCUACUGAGGGGCUGCCGGCCUACACGCACAUCUCAUAGCCCCAGGAGUCCAGCGCCCGGCCCCUGCCGCGAGCGCCGUCCCCCGCCCGCGCCGCCGCCGUCCCCCCACCCCGCGGUCCUGACGUCAGCCAAACUGGAGCUGCCGUGGUGCCGUCAGCAGCGCGCGCCCCGCCCCCGCGUCUCCAGGGCAACCGUGGCUUUCGAUUGUUACUGUGGGAACCGGAGGUAACAGUCUACAGCCAUGGUCGCCCCGCAGCACGCCCACGCGCCGCGCCGCGCAGCGCACAGCCGGGGCCGGGAUGGGGGAGGCUCCGAGCAGGAGGAAGCGGAGGCGGCGAGUCGAGAGCCCAUGUGUCUGCGGGGGUGGCGGGAGGUGAGGCGCAGGGAGGCGGGCUACUCCGGAGCCGGGCAUCCACCCAGGCAGAGAAAGAGAAAGAAGCGCGGUCUGCGGAGAAUGCCUGACCGUCCCCCUCAGUGACCGUCCUGUCCUCCUAGCCGAGCUGGUGCUGGUUUCACAGUUAAUCAACACCCACACAUUGUCUUCUUCCCACCCAAGGACACUGAGGUCUUGGAUUAAAAUGCACCUGAUUCUGGCAUCCAGUGGACAUCUGUGGGCAGACUGUAGUGUGUGCACAUGGGAGUAGUGCACUGGGAAGCAGGCGGUCGAACCUGGCAUCACCAUCAACUGGUUGUUAAGGGGCCAUGUUUUUUCUGAGCCUUCCGUAAAAUGAGAUAAUAAUCCCUCCUUUCUGGCAGGCCUGUUGUGAGGACCAAAUAAGAUCAUGUAAGUAAAAAUCUUUGCAAACGGCAGAAAGCUA